GCUUGCUCCUUUGACGUUAGCGGCGGACGGGUGAGUAACACGUGGGUAACCUACCUAUAAGACUGGGAUAACUUCGGGAAACCGGAGCUAAUACCGGAUAAUAUUUCGAACCGCAUGGUUCGAUAGUGAAAGAUGGCUCUGCUAUCACUUAUAGAUGGACCUGCGCCGUAUUAGCUAGUUGGUAAGGUAACGGCUUACCAAGGCAACGAUACGUAGCCGACCUGAGAGGGUGAUCGGCCACACUGGAACUGAGACACGGUCCAGACUCCUACGGGAGGCAGCAGUAGGGAAUCUUCCGCAAUGGGCGAAAGCCUGACGGAGCAACGCCGCGUGAGUGAUGAAGGUCUUCGGAUCGUAAAACUCUGUUAUUAGGGAAGAACAAACGUGUAAGUAACUGUGCACGUCUUGACGGUACCUAAUCAGAAAGCCACGGCUAACUACGUGCCAGCAGCCGCGGUAAUACGUAGGUGGCAAGCGUUAUCCGGAAUUAUUGGGCGUAAAGCGCGCGUAGGCGGUUUUUUAAGUCUGAUGUGAAAGCCCACGGCUCAACCGUGGAGGGUCAUUGGAAACUGGAAAACUUGAGUGCAGAAGAGGAAAGUGGAAUUCCAUGUGUAGCGGUGAAAUGCGCAGAGAUAUGGAGGAACACCAGUGGCGAAGGCGACUUUCUGGUCUGUAACUGACGCUGAUGUGCGAAAGCGUGGGGAUCAAACAGGAUUAGAUACCCUGGUAGUCCACGCCGUAAACGAUGAGUGUAAGUGGGUUAGGGGGUUUCCGCCCCUUAGUGCUGCAGCUAACGCAUUAAGCACUCCGCCUGGGGGAGUACGACCCGCAAGGUUGAAACUCAAAGGAAAUUGACGGGGACCCGCACAAGCGGUGGAAGCAUGGGGUUUAAUUCGAAGCAACGCGAAGAACCUUACCAAAUCUUGACAUCCUUUG
This 936-nucleotide ribosomal RNA is filed under the name Staphylococcus hominis subsp. hominis. RNAcentral's name for it is "bacterial SSU rRNA". It matches the Rfam family "Bacterial small subunit ribosomal RNA", at positions 78 to 993 of the family's 1533-position model. Lineage: Bacteria; Bacillati; Bacillota; Bacilli; Caryophanales; Staphylococcaceae. The record is from RNAcentral.